GAUGAACGCUGGCGGCGUGCCUAAUACAUGCAAGUCGAGCGAACGGACGAGAAGCUUGCUUCUCUGAUGUUAGCGGCGGACGGGUGAGUAACACGUGGAUAACCUACCUAUAAGACUGGGAUAACUUCGGGAAACCGGAGCUAAUACCGGAUAAUAUUUUGAACCGCAUGGUUCAAAAGUAAAAGACGGUCUUGCUGUCACUUAUAGAUGGAUCCGCGCUGCAUUAGCUAGUUGGUAAGGUAACGGUUUACCAAGGCAACGAUGCAUAGCCGACCUGAGAGGGUGAUCGGCCACACUGGAACUGAGACACGGUCCAGACUCCUACGGGAGGCAGCAGUAGGGAAUCUUCCGCAAUGGGCGAAAGCCUGACGGAGCAACGCCGCGUGAGUGAUGAAGGUCUUCGGAUCGUAAAACUCUGUUAUUAGGGAAGAACAUAUGUGUAAGUAACUGUGCACAUCUUGACGGUACCUAAUCAGAAAGCCACGGCUAACUACGUGCCAGCAGCCGCGGUAAUACGUAGGUGGCAAGCGUUAUCCGGAAUUAUUGGGCGUAAAGCGCGCGUAGGCGGUUUUUUAAGUCUGAUGUGAAAGCCCACGGCUCAACCGUGGAGGGUCAUUGGAAACUGGAAAACUUGAGUGCAGAAGAGAAAGUGGAAUUCCAUGUGUAGCGGUGAAAUGCGCAGAGAUAUGGAGGAACACCAGUGGCGAAGGCGACUUUCUGGUCUGUAACUGACGCUGAUGUGCGAAAGCGUGGGGAUCAAACAGGAUUAGAUACCCUGGUAGUCCACGCCGUAAACGAUGAGUGCUAAGUGUUAGGGGGUUUCCGCCCCUUAGUGCUGCAGCUAACGCAUUAAGCACUCCGCCUGGGGAGUACGACCGCAAGGUUGAAACUCAAAGGAAUUGACGGGGACCCGCACAAGCGGUGGAGCAUGUGGUUUAAUUCGAAGCAACGCGAAGAACCUUACCAAAUCUUGACAUCCUUUGACAACUCUAGAGAUAGAGCCUUCCCCUUCGGGGGACAAAGUGACAGGUGGUGCAUGGUUGUCGUCAGCUCGUGUCGUGAGAUGUUGGGUUAAGUCCCGCAACGAGCGCAACCCUUAAGCUUAGUUGCCAUCAUUAAGUUGGGCACUCUAAGUUGACUGCCGGUGACAAACCGGAGGAAGGUGGGGAUGACGUCAAAUCAUCAUGCCCCUUAUGAUUUGGGCUACACACGUGCUACAAUGGACAAUACAAAGGGCAGCGAAACCGCGAGGUCAAGCAAAUCCCAUAAAGUUGUUCUCAGUUCGGAUUGUAGUCUGCAACUCGACUACAUGAAGCUGGAAUCGCUAGUAAUCGUAGAUCAGCAUGCUACGGUGAAUACGUUCCCGGGUCU
RNAcentral lists this ribosomal RNA (1371 nucleotides) under uncultured bacterium. RNAcentral describes it as "bacterial SSU rRNA". It matches the Rfam family "Bacterial small subunit ribosomal RNA", at positions 28 to 1381 of the family's 1533-position model. The record is from RNAcentral.